This 1326-nucleotide ribosomal RNA is filed under the name Alexandrium minutum. RNAcentral describes it as "LSU rRNA". It matches the Rfam family "Eukaryotic large subunit ribosomal RNA", at positions 135 to 1414 of the family's 3401-position model. The record is from RNAcentral. Lineage: Eukaryota; Dinophyceae; Gonyaulacales; Pyrocystaceae.
GCUUUGAAUUGUAAUUUUGAAAUGUAUUGCCAAUGGAGGCGCAGGUGCAAGCCUAUUGAAAGAAAGCGUCAAUGAGGGUGAGAUUCCUUUUUGUCAUUUGCAGUCCUCCGUGCACGGUAUAUAUUUGACGAGUCACACUCCUCGGCAUUGGAAUGCAAAGUGGGUGGUAAAUUCCAUGUAAAGGUAAAUAUAUUAUUGAGACUGAUAGCAAACAAGUACCAUGAGGGAAAUAUGAAAAGGACUUUGAAAAGAGAAUUAAAAGAGUCUGCAUUUGCUGAACAGAAAGCAAACAGAAUUGAUUUUACUUGGUGAGAUUGUUGUGCUUACUCUAUCAUUUAUAUGGUUGAUGUGGGUGCGAUGGUUCUUACCUUGAAUGUCAGCUUCUAUUUCUGCAAAUCAUUACCCUUGCACAUGAAUGGUAACUUGCCUGCGGGUAUUGGAAUGCAUGUGUUUGCAAUGAUUUGUGAUUUGACGCAUGUGUUUGGUGAAAUUUGUAUAUGCUCUUUUGUCGAAGGGGAAAGCUUACUUUUUUGAGCAUUGCAAGCCCUUACACAUCAGUGCUGGCAAAAUGUUUCUGCUUGACCCGUCUUGAAACACGGACCAAGGAGUCUAACAGAUGUGCAAGUUCGUGGGUGGCAAACCUUUUUGCGCAAUGAAAGUAUUGGCUGGGAUACUUGCACCAGCAGCCGACCAAUUAGCAGACAGAGGUUUGAGUUUGAGCAUAUCUAUUAGGACCCGAAAGAUGGUGAACUAUGCCUGAACAGAAUGAAUUCAGAGGAAACUCUGAUGGAGGUUCGUAUCGAUACUGACGUGCAAAUCGUUCGUCAUACUUGGGUAUAGGGGCGAAAGACUAAUCGAACCAUCUAGUAGCUGGUUCCCUCCGAAGUUUCCCUCAGGAUAGCUGGAGUUGCACAGUUUUAUCAGGUAAAGCGAAUGAUUAGAGGAAUUGGGGACACGCUGUCCUUGACCUAUUCUCAAACUUUAAAUGGGUAAGAUGCAAUGGUUGCUUUAUUGAACUUUUGGAAUAAAUGGCAAUAUCAGGUGGGCCAUUUUUGGUAAGCAGAACUGGCGAUGAGGGAUGAACCUAACGUUGGGUUAAGGUGCUUAAUUGCUUGCUCAUUAGAUACCAGAAAGGGUGUUGGUUCAUUUUAACAGCAGGACGGUGGUCAUGGAAGUCGAAAUCCGCUAAGGAGUGUGUAACAACUCACCUGCCGAAUGGACUAGCCCCGAAAAUGGAUGGCGCUCAAGCGGGUGACCGAUACCCAACCACUGUUGCAAAUAGUGUCAGUGUGUAGGAGGGCAUGGCGGUUUGUGAUGCAGCCUUUG